This 423-nucleotide ribosomal RNA is filed under the name uncultured archaeon. RNAcentral's name for it is "partial 16S ribosomal RNA". It matches the Rfam family "Archaeal small subunit ribosomal RNA", at positions 323 to 746 of the family's 1478-position model. The record is from RNAcentral.
CUACGGGGCGCUGCAGGCGCGAAACCUCCGCAAUGUGAGAAAUCGCGACGGGGGGAUCCCAAGUGCCAUUCUUAACGGGAUGGCUUUUCAUUAGUGUAAAGAGCUUUUGGAAUAAGGGCUGGGCAAGACCGGUGCCAGCCGCCGCGGUAACACCGGCAGCUCUAGUGGUAGCAGUUUUUAUUGGGCCUAAAGCGUCCGUAGCCGGUUUAAUAAGUCUCUGGUGAAAUCCUGCAGCUUAACUGUGGGAAUUGCUGGAGAUACUAUUAGACUUGAGAUCGGGAGAGGUUAGAGGUACUCCCAGGGUAGAGGUGAAAUUCUGUAAUCCUGGGAGGACCGCCUGUUGCGAAGGCGUCUGACUGGAACGAUUCUGACGGUGAGGGACGAAAGCUAGGGGCGCGAACCGGAUUAGAUACCCGGGUAGUC